This 373-nucleotide RNase P RNA is filed under the name Gammaproteobacteria bacterium. Its description in RNAcentral is "RNase P RNA component class A". It matches the Rfam family "Bacterial RNase P class A". Rfam says of the family: Ribonuclease P (RNase P) is a ubiquitous endoribonuclease, found in archaea, bacteria and eukarya as well as chloroplasts and mitochondria. Its best characterised activity is the generation of mature 5'-ends of tRNAs by cleaving the 5'-leader elements of precursor-tRNAs. The record is from RNAcentral. Lineage: Bacteria; Pseudomonadati; Pseudomonadota; Gammaproteobacteria.
GGAGCCGGCCAGGCAGUCGCUCGCCGCAUGGCGGCGGGAGGAAAGUCCGGGCUCCGGCGGACAGGGUGCCAGGUAACGCCUGGGGGGCGCGAGCCCACGGAAAGUGCCACAGAAAACAGACCGCCGGCGCCGCUGUGCGGCGCAGGCAAGGGUGAAAAGGUGCGGUAAGAGCGCACCGCGCGGGUGGUAACACGCCGCGGCACGGUAAACCCCACCCGGAGCAAGACCAAAUAGGGGAGCAGGCGACGGGCGCGAGCCCGGCGCACCGGUGUCCGCCCGGGCUCCCGGGUAGGUCGCAAGAGGCCGCCGGCGACGGUGGUCCCAGAUGAAUGGCUGCCCCCGACAGAACCCGGCUUAUCGGCCGGCUCCAUUU